This is a long non-coding RNA of Solanum dulcamara, 1087 nucleotides long. RefSeq lists it as uncharacterized. The transcript has 3 exons. The record is from RefSeq and is a predicted model, not a curated record. Lineage: Eukaryota; Viridiplantae; Streptophyta; Magnoliopsida; Solanales; Solanaceae.
ACAUAAUUUUUUUAUAUUCUACUUAGGUUUCUUCCAAGCGGUGCUUCUCAGAAGCUUUAAUAUUAACAUUUUACAUCGCCUUCAUCAAUCUGGUUAAUUUGCUGGCAUCAGUUGGUGAUCUAGAAGUAACCAAGUUUCUGGAUAUCAGUGCUUUCAGAUGAUGCUUACUUAAUGUUUUAAAAAGCUUACGCCAUCUACCUGUUUUUAGUUAUAACAACAUGAGUGAAGACAAAAUCCCUAAGCAGGCUGGAAUUGGUGAGUUGAUAGACCUAGGAAAGAAUGCUUUGAGCUGCAGUGGAGUACAUGCUUCUAGCAAUGAGAAGGGGAGAUCACAUUUAAACACCAUUGCUGCUGUCAAAGUGAACAAAAAAUAUGUUCUACUCCUUGCUGCUAGUCUAUCAGCUACUGCUUUGUUUAUAGCAGCUUUUAGCAUCCCCCGUCUCAUUGCCAAUGCUAAUCACAUCAAUGACUAUGAUACAGGUCAAAUAAUCCAAGAUAUGAGAGAUUCAACCAUCACUUUACCAUUCAUAUUAUUAAACUCGGCAGUUUUUAUAGUAUCAUUAGCUAUUGUUAUCUCUAUUCUACGCAGUUUUCCUAUGAAGCCGUGGCCUCAGAUUACAGUAUCUAUGUUUUUUAUCUCCUAUAUGUCCUUGAUCAUGAAAAUAUUACCAUGGGCAUCCAUGCUUGUACUUGUGUUUUCCGUCCCAUUACUACUAUUCGCAGCUGCUGGAAAACUGUUCAACUUUCACGAGUGAAGACUUUUGCUGUUCUGCUACUUUGAAAAGGAGGUGAGGACCAUGAUAUAUGAGGAUCUGCUAUGCCAUUUCCAAGUAUUGUUGUUUAACUGCUUUAAUUUAAAUAUACAAGCAACAGCUAAAUCCAAGCCUUUGAGAGUUGUAUAAAGAGUGUUUUUACUAUUGUUGGUAGAUUAUCACAUGUAUGAAUGUACAAGGAUUUGUGUGCUGCAGAAAUGGUAGAUGCACAUACCAGUUGAAACUAUUUUGUCUAAACUCUUGUUAAGAAUAGCCAUUGUGGAUGUGCUGAAUGGAAAACAUCUUCCAACAGAUUACUUUGUUUCAUAAGAUAA